RNAcentral lists this ribosomal RNA (499 nucleotides) under uncultured Chryseobacterium sp. RNAcentral describes it as "partial 16S ribosomal RNA". The record is from RNAcentral. Lineage: Bacteria; Pseudomonadati; Bacteroidota; Flavobacteriia; Flavobacteriales; Weeksellaceae.
CACGGAGUUAGCCGGUGCUUAUUCGUACAGUACCUUCAGCUAUCUACACGUAGAUAGGUUUAUCCCUGUACAAAAGAAGUUUACAACCCAUAGGGCAGUCGUCCUUCACGCGGGAUGGCUGGAUCAGGCUCUCACCCAUUGUCCAAUAUUCCUCACUGCUGCCUCCCGUAGGAGUCUGGUCCGUGUCUCAGUACCAGUGUGGGGGAUCACCCUCUCAGGCCCCCUAAAGAUCAUCGACUUGGUGGGCCGUUACCCCACCAACUAUCUAAUCUUGCGCGUGCCCAUCUCUAUCCGCCGGAGCUUUCAAUAAGAAACCGAUGCCGUCUCUUAUAUUAUGGGGUAUUAAUCUUCCUUUCGAAAGGCUAUCCCCCAGAUAAAGGCAGGUUGCACACGUGUUCCGCACCCGUGCGCCGCUCUCGAGAUCCCGAAAGACCUCUACCGCUCGGCUUGCAUGUGUUAGGCCUCCCGCUAGCGUUCAUCCUGAGCCAGGAUCAAACUC